Molecule: ribosomal RNA, 435 nt
Filed under: Holascus sp. CCZ_078
Lineage: Eukaryota; Metazoa; Porifera; Hexactinellida; Lyssacinosida; Euplectellidae
Description: partial large subunit ribosomal RNA
Rfam family: Bacterial large subunit ribosomal RNA
Source: RNAcentral
AAGGUAGCAUAAUAAACCGCUUACUAAUUAUAGGAUAGAAUGAAGGUAAAAAGAAGACCCAACUGUCUCAAGACCCUAAAAUUAAAAAUAGAAUGUGUGUGCAAAUCCACACUAAAACGGCAAGACGACUAGACCCUAAGAACUUUACCUAAAGCUUUAACUAUUAAAAAGUUCUAAGUUUCGUUGGGGCAACGAUCUUUAAAAAAGUAACUAAGAUUAUCCAAUCAUAACACACACCUACAAUAACUUCAAACAGAUAAAACCCAUUAACAAACAACUUAAUGGAAAAAAAUAAAAGUUCCUUAGGGAUAACAGCGUUAUAUCGUUCUCUAGAAAAUAUUCAAACGAUGUUUGCGACCUCGAUGUUGAAUUGCUAUAUCCCAAAAUGUAACCACAUUUAAAGGUUGGACUGUCCUUCCAUCAAAAUAGCACGUG